Molecule: ribosomal RNA, 343 nt
Filed under: Rhipicephalus sanguineus (brown dog tick)
Lineage: Eukaryota; Metazoa; Arthropoda; Arachnida; Ixodida; Ixodidae
Description: partial large subunit ribosomal RNA
Source: RNAcentral
CUGCUCAAUGAUUUUUUAAAUUGCUGUGGUAUUUUGACUAUACAAAGGUAUUGAAAUAAGAUUUUAAUUGAAUGCUAAGAGAACGGAAGUCCAGAAAAAAACUUUUUUUAAAUUAAAAAUUGAAGUUUUUUUAAUUUGUGCAGAAACAAUUAUUUAUAUUAAAGACAAGAAGACCCUAUGAAUUUAUUAAAUUUUUAUUUAAUAUGUAAUUACUAUUAAAAAAUUUUGGCUGGGGCGGCUAGAAAAUAUUAUAAACUUUUUAAAAAUAAAAUGAUCCAUUAUUAAUGAUUUUAUGUUAAAUACUCUAGGGAUAACAGCGUUAUAUUUUUUGAUAGAUCAUAUU